This 68-nucleotide ribosomal RNA is filed under the name Lecanora cinereofusca. Its description in RNAcentral is "partial 28S ribosomal RNA". The record is from RNAcentral. Lineage: Eukaryota; Fungi; Ascomycota; Lecanoromycetes; Lecanorales; Lecanoraceae.
GAGGCUUUUGGCCAGAUAGACUACACAUUUCUCAAUGAUUGACCUCGGAUCAGGUAGGGAUACCCGCU